This 382-nucleotide ribosomal RNA is filed under the name uncultured Parabacteroides sp. RNAcentral's name for it is "bacterial SSU rRNA". It matches the Rfam family "Bacterial small subunit ribosomal RNA", at positions 355 to 735 of the family's 1533-position model. The record is from RNAcentral. Lineage: Bacteria; Pseudomonadati; Bacteroidota; Bacteroidia; Bacteroidales; Tannerellaceae.
GGAGGAAUAUUGGUCAAUGGACGAAAGUCUGAACCAGCCAUGCCGCGUGAAGGAAUAAGGCCCUAUGGGUCGUAAACUUCUUUUGUAUGUGAGCAAUAAGGUCCACGUGUGGACCGAUGAGAGUAGCAUACGAAUAAGCAUCGGCUAACUCCGUGCCAGCAGCCGCGGUAAUACGGAGGAUGCGAGCGUUAUCCGGAUUUAUUGGGUUUAAAGGGUGCGUAGGCGGUUUGUCAAGUCAGCGGUCAAACUGCGGGGCUUAACCUCGUAUUGCCGUUGAAACUGGCUGACUAGCGUGGCGUCGAGGUGUGCGGAAUGCGUUGUGUAGCGGUGAAAUGCAUAGAUAUGACGCAGAACUCCGAUUGCGAAGGCAGCACGCCGGGCG